Molecule: non-coding RNA, 267 nt
Organism: Paramuricea clavata
Lineage: Eukaryota; Metazoa; Cnidaria; Anthozoa; Malacalcyonacea; Plexauridae
Source: the annotation of a GenBank genome assembly
CCUUGUGCUGCAUUUUUCGCAGUUGUUCCUGGUUAGGUCUUAAAAUGUAUAUAUUCUCACUUGGAUUCAUUCUAAUAUUAAUUCCACCAAGUGAAGUGCAGAAUCUAAGUCAUGAAGUCCACCUUAUCACAACCCGCACACCCGAUUACCUAUAUAUACAUGAACUUACGGUUACAGCUUAACAGCUGGCCUCUGUAGCUCAGUUGGUUAGAGCGCUGCACCGGAAUCGCAGGGCCGUAGGUUCAAUUCCUACCAGAGGACCUUGUG